Molecule: ribosomal RNA, 440 nt
Filed under: uncultured bacterium
Lineage: Bacteria
Description: partial 16S ribosomal RNA
Rfam family: Bacterial small subunit ribosomal RNA
Source: RNAcentral
CCUACGGGCGGCAGCAGUGGGGGAUAUUGCACAAUGGAGGGAACCCUGAUGCAGCGACGCCGCGUGGGUGAAGGAGCGUUUCGGCGCGUAAAGCCCUAUCGGAAGGGAAGAAGAUGACGGUACGUGACCAAGAAGCCCCGGCUAACUACGUGCCAGGAGCCGCGGUAAUAAGUAGGGGGCAAGGGGUAUCCGGAUUUACUGGGUGUAAAGGGGGCGCCGACGGCAAAGCAAGGUAGGAGUGAAAGGCCGGGGCCCAACCCCGAGACUGCUCUUGGAACUGCAUGGCUGGAGUGCAGGAGGGGCAAGCGGAAUUCCUAGUGUAGCGGUGAAAUGCGUAGAUAUUAGGAGGAACACCGGUGGCGAAGGCGGCCUGCUGGACUGUGACUGACGUUGAGGCCCGAAGGCGUGGGGAGCAAACAGGAUUAGAUACCCGGGUAGUC